RNAcentral lists this ribosomal RNA (216 nucleotides) under uncultured bacterium. RNAcentral's name for it is "partial 16S ribosomal RNA". It matches the Rfam family "Bacterial small subunit ribosomal RNA", at positions 118 to 351 of the family's 1533-position model. The record is from RNAcentral.
UGGGAACGUACCCUUCGGUUCGGAAUAACCCGGGGAAACUCGGGCUAAUACCGGAUACGUCCGCAAGGAGAAAGAUUUAUCGCCGAAGGAUCGGCCCGCGUCGGAUUAGCUAGUUGGUGGGGUAACGGCCCACCAAGGCGACGAUCCGUAGCUGGUCUGAGAGGAUGAUCAGCCACACUGGGACUGAGACACGGCCCAGACUCCUACGGGAGGCAG